CCGAAUAAAACUUAGUGUCGCAUGACACAAAGUUAAAAGGCGCUUCGGCGUCACCUAGAGAUGGAUCCGCGGUGCAUUAGUUAGUUGGUGGGGUAAAGGCCUACCAAGACAAUGAUGCAUAGCCGAGUUGAGAGACUGAUCGGCCACAUUGGGACUGAGACACGGCCCAAACUCCUACGGGAGGCUGCAGUAGGGAAUCUUCCACAAUGGGCGAAAGCCUGAUGGAGCAACGCCGCGUGUGUGAUGAAGGCUUUCGGGUCGUAAAGCACUGUUGUAUGGGAAGAACAGCUAGAAUAGGAAAUGAUUUUAGUUUGACGGUACCAUACCAGAAAGGGACGGCUAAAUACGUGCCAGCAGCCGCGGUAAUACGUAUGUCCCGAGCGUUAUCCGGAUUUAUUGGGCGUAAAGCGAGCGCAGACGGUUUAUUAAGUCUGAUGUGAAAGCCCGGAGCUCAACUCCGGAAUGGCAUUGGAAACUGGUUAACUUGAGUGCAGUAGAGGUAAGUGGAACUCCAUGUGUAGCGGUGGAAUGCGUAGAUAUAUGGAAGAACACCAGUGGCGAAGGCGGCUUACUGGACUGCAACUGACGUUGAGGCUCGAAAGUGUGGGUAGCAAACAGGAUUAGAUACCCUGGUAGUCCACACCGUAAACGAUGAACACUAGGUGUUAGGAGGUUUCCGCCUCUUAGUGCCGAAGCUAACGCAUUAAGUGUUCCGCCUGGGGAGUACGACCGCAAGGUUGAAACUCAAAGGAAUUGACGGGGACCCGCACAAGCGGUGGAGCAUGUGGUUUAAUUCGAAGCAACGCGAAGAACCUUACCAGGUCUUGACAUCCUUUGAAGCUUUUAGAGAUAGAAGUGUUCUCUUCGGAGACAAAGUGACAGGUGGUGCAUGGUCGUCGUCAGCUCGUGUCGUGAGAUGUUGGGUUAAGUCCCGCAACGAGCGCAACCCUUAUUGUUAGUUGCCAGCAUUCAGAUGGGCACUCUAGCGAGACUGCCGGUGACAAACCGGAGGAAGGCGGGGACGACGUCAGAUCAUCAUGCCCCUUAUGACCUGGGCUACACACGUGCUACAAUGGCGUAUACAACGAGUUGCCAACCCGCGAGGGUGAGCUAAUCUCUUAAAGUACGUCUCAGUUCGGAUUGUAGUCUGCAACUCGACUACAUGAAGUCGGAAUCGCUAGUAAUCGCGGAUCAGCACGCCGCGGUGAAUACGUUCCCGGGUCUUGUACACACCGCCCGUCACAC
Molecule: ribosomal RNA, 1245 nt
Filed under: Leuconostoc mesenteroides
Lineage: Bacteria; Bacillati; Bacillota; Bacilli; Lactobacillales; Lactobacillaceae
Description: bacterial SSU rRNA
Rfam family: Bacterial small subunit ribosomal RNA
Source: RNAcentral